GGGUUAUCCAAGGAAUGGCAGAGGUAACAGCAAGAAGAAGGAAGCUGGUGGUUUUGCUCCCAGGUCAUAUAUGAAUCCAAAUAAUAUUUGUGUAGAGAACACAUGAAAAAAAAUCUCAGAAGAGAUAGAUCUUUGAAGGCAUAAAAGAUUCAAAGGAAAUAUAAAUCCCAUGCUUUAAUGUAUAUAUAUGCACAAAGGUAUAGAUAUGAAUAAGAACAUAGGUAUAUACAUAUAUAAUCUUGUGGCUCCGAGUCUGCUCUUCGGGUUUCUUUAUGUAUAGCAAAGGCAAAAAGGUAAGACACUUCACCAAGCACUUCAGAAUACUCUAGUGUAGGAAUCCAAAAGUGGAAAAAGGUUAAAGUCUGUUUCAUGUGGGAGGAGUUUACCAAUGGGUUAUGUGAUUGCCACUUAAAAAAUCUUUUAAUGAUCUUUUUAAACAGCUUCCCCAUUUGCAAAAAUGUAUUGGGAAACAUAAAUACAAAAAGUGCCCUAAAUGCUGGUUAUUAUUCUGUUGCUGUUGUUGCUGAAGUAUGAUUUUUUUCUUUGCAUUUCUCAAUCAUCCACUGAUUCUUUGAGGAUUUCAAAUGGAAGGAUGAGCAAGUAGUGAUCUUCAAAUAAAAUUAAUGGAUGACUUGAUGGUUUUACUUGAUACGUCACAUUUUAUGCCUGUUGCACACCUGUGACAUUGCUGCCAAUGUCUGUGGUCAGCAGCAGCACAUUAAUUGCGUGAGAUGUAAAUAAAUACUGCAAUACAUGCCUUGUUUCUCUUGUAGCCAUCCCAAACAUUAGCUUUGGGAGGAAGGGUAAAACAGACAUUUUCCAUUCUCUAGGAAGAAUGUGAAGGGUUACAGGAAAGAUAAAGGCACAGCAGCAUGAAAGCUGCAAUCAGAAGAGAUGAGAGCACCUGGGGGGGAUGUAUUACACCUGGGAAUCCCUCUCCCAGGGAAAGGCUUCUCUCUAUAUGGAUUGUAAAGUAUUCUACCUUCAGGAAGACUGAUUCUACUAAAGGGCAGAAAACAGUUACGGAGAAGGAAUAUAACACAUUAAAAAGCUAG
Molecule: long non-coding RNA, 1055 nt
Filed under: Numida meleagris (helmeted guineafowl)
Lineage: Eukaryota; Metazoa; Chordata; Aves; Galliformes; Numididae
Description: lncRNA (ENSNMEG00000009311.1)
Source: RNAcentral